Molecule: ribosomal RNA, 1322 nt
Filed under: uncultured organism
Description: bacterial SSU rRNA
Rfam family: Bacterial small subunit ribosomal RNA
Source: RNAcentral
GAGGUCCGGGAUAGCCGGGGGAAACCCCGUGUAAUACCGGAUAACAUCUCCGGAUCAAAGGUGUGAUUCCGCCUCGAGAUGGGUCCGCGUCCUAUUAGCUUGUUGGUGGGGUAAUGGCCCACCAAGGCGAUGAUGGGUAGUGGGCGUUAGCGCGUGGCCCGCCUCACUGGGACUGAGACACUGCCCAGACACCUACGGGUGGCUGCAGUCGAGAAUCUUCGGCAAUGGGCGCAAGCCUGACCGAGCGACGCCGCGUGCGGGAUGAAGGCCUUCGGGUUGUAAACCGCUGUCAGAGGGGAGGAAAUCCAUGAGGGCACUCUCUCAUGGUUGACCUAUCCUCAGAGGAAGUGCGGGCUAAGUUCGUGCCAGCAGCCGCGGUAAGACGAACCGCACAAACGUUAUUCGGAAUCACUGGGCUUAAAGGGUGCGUAGGCGGCCAUGCAAGUCGGGUGUGAAAGCCCUCAGCUCAACUGAGGAAUUGCGCCCGAUACUGCGUGGCUUGAGGGAGACAGAGGUGAGCGGAACUUGCGGUGGAGCGGUGAAAUGCGUUGAUAUCGCAAGGAACACCAGUAGCGAAAGCGGCUCACUGGGUCUCUUCUGACGCUGAGGCACGAAAGCUAGGGUAGCGAACAGGAUUAGAUACCCUGGUAGUCCUAGCUGUAAACGUUGAGCACUGGGUUGGAGAGUCCUCCAUAGCUUUCCAGCCGUAGCGGAAAGUGUUAAGUGCUCCGCCUGGGGAGUAUGGUUCGCAAGGCCUGAAACUCCAAAGGAAUUGACGGGGGUUCACACAAGCGGUGGAGGGAUGUGGCUUAAUUCGAGGCUACGCGAAGAACCUUAUCCUGGAUUUGACAUGCUUGGGAAUCCCCUGGAAACAGGGGAGUGCAUUCGGGAGCCCUGCACAGGUGCUGCAUGGCGUGUCAGCUCGUGUCGUGAGAUGUCGGGUUAAGUCCCUUAACGAGCGAACCCUGUCGUUAGUUGCCAGCGGGUAAAGCACAGGGACUCUAACGAGACUGCCGGUGUUAAACCGGAGGAAGGUGGGGAUGACGUCAAGUCCUCAUGGCCUUUAUGUCACAGGGCUGCACACGUCCUACAAUGGUGCGUACAAAGGGAAGCAAACUCGCGAGAGUAAGCAAAUCCCAAAAAACGCGCCCCAGUUCGGAUUGCAGGCCGCAACUCGCCUGCAUGAAGCCGGAAUCGCUAGUAAUCGCGGGUCAGCAUACCGCGGUGAAUAUGUUCCUGAGCAUUGUACACACCGCCCGUCAAGCCACGAAAGUGGGGGGCCGGCGAAGUCGCCGAGCUAACCCGUAAGGGAGGCAAGCGCC